Molecule: long non-coding RNA, 360 nt
Filed under: Hordeum vulgare
Lineage: Eukaryota; Viridiplantae; Streptophyta; Magnoliopsida; Poales; Poaceae
Description: long non-coding RNA (HVUL_LNC006695)
Source: RNAcentral
CGGUGGUUUCGGCAGCGAUCCAUCAACGCUUAUCUCAGAAUUCCUCCUUUGGUGCAGACGUGAAUUAGCAUAGCAGUAGUCGAUUUCUCCUUGGGCUUCGUCCUAGCACCACCAUCGAUUGGGAGCGAGGAGAAUCGACAACAAUGAUCCUUUCUGUUCCUCCAGGACUAGUACGAUCCGUGAGAACCUCGAAGUUUCUUUUUUCCUUUAGGCUUUUAGGCUCGCCAUUGUCACCAGUACACGUGGGUGAUAAGCCCAGAAAUUAUUAUAGAACGCCUUACGUUAAUCCUGUUGCAUAGUCGUCACCAAGAUUUUGGUUGGGAAUCAAUGUAUCGCUUUCGACCCAAACGCUGUUGUGCG